GAGAUCACUUUGGCAGCACAUAUACUAAAACUGGAAUGAUACAGAGAAGAUUAGCAUGGCCCCUGUGCAAGGUAAUCAUUAAAGUACAACUAAAAACCUUACUAAAUAUU
This is a small nuclear RNA of Suncus etruscus (white-toothed pygmy shrew), 110 nucleotides long. NCBI's taxonomy places the organism in Eukaryota, Metazoa, Chordata, Mammalia, Eulipotyphla, Soricidae. The record is from RefSeq and is a predicted model, not a curated record.